AUUGAACGCUGGCGGCAGGCUUAACACAUGCAAGUCGAGAGAGCGGCGGACGGGUGAGUAAUGUCUGGGAAACUGCCUGCUGGAGGGGGAUAACUAAUGGAAACGGUAGCUAAUACCGCAUACCAUCAGAUGUGCCCAGAUGGGAUUAGCUAGUAGGUGGGGUAAUGGCUCACCUAGGCGACGAUCCCGUGCUGGUCUGCGAGGAUGACCAGCCACACUGGAACUGAUACACAGUCCAGACUCCUCCGGGAGGCAGCAGUGAGGAAUAUUGCACAAUGGGCGCAAGCCUGAUGCAGCCAUGCCGCGUGUGUGAAGAAGGCCUUCGGGUUGUAGAGCACUUUCAGCGAGGAGGCGUUACUCGCAGAAGAAGCACCGGCUAACUCCGUGCCAGCAGCCGCGGGAAUAC
RNAcentral lists this ribosomal RNA (406 nucleotides) under uncultured bacterium. RNAcentral's name for it is "partial 16S ribosomal RNA". It matches the Rfam family "Bacterial small subunit ribosomal RNA", at positions 30 to 526 of the family's 1533-position model. The record is from RNAcentral.